This 173-nucleotide ribosomal RNA is filed under the name uncultured Thelephoraceae. RNAcentral's name for it is "partial 28S ribosomal RNA". It matches the Rfam family "Eukaryotic large subunit ribosomal RNA", at positions 1 to 169 of the family's 3401-position model. Lineage: Eukaryota; Fungi; Basidiomycota; Agaricomycetes; Thelephorales; Thelephoraceae. The record is from RNAcentral.
UUGAUCUCAAAUCAGGUAGGACUACCCGCUGAACUUAAGCAUAUCAAUAAGCGGAGGAAAAGAAACUAACAAGGAUUCCCCUAGUAACUGCGAGUGAAGCGGGAAGAGCUCAAAUUUAAAAUCUGACGUGCCUCUGGUCGUCCGAGUUGUAGUCUGGAGAAGCGUUUUCCGUG